AGAGUUUGAUCCUGGCUCAGAAUCAACGCUGGCGGCGUGCCUCAGACAUGCAAGUCGAACGCGAAAGUCCCCUUCGGGGGACAAGUAGAGUGGCGCACGGGUGAGUAACACGUAGGUAAUCUACCUUCGGGUGGGGAAUAACAACCGGAAACGGUUGCUAAUACCGCAUAAUGCAGCGGCACCUAAUGGUGACAGUUGUUAAAGCGGGGGAUCGCAAGAUCUCGCGCCUGAAGAGGAGCCUGCGGCGGAUUAGCUAGUUGGUAGGGUAAUGGCCUACCAAGGCGACGAUCCGUAGCCGGCCUGAGAGGGCGGUCGGCCACACUGACACUGACAUACGGGUCAGACUCCUACGGGAGGCAGCAGUCGGGAAUUUUGGGCAAUGGGCGAAAGCCUGACCCAGCAACGCCGCGUGAAGGAUGAAAUCCCUCGGGAUGUAAACUUCGCAAGAACGGGAAGAAUAAGUUUGUGCUAAUACCACAAGCGAUGACGGUACUGUUUGUAAGCUCCGGCUAACUCCGUGCCAGCAGCCGCGGUAAUACGGGGGGAGCAAGCGUUGUUCGGAUUUACUGGGCGUAAAGGGCGCGUAGGCGGCCUCCGCAAGUCAGUUGUGAAAUCUCCGAGCUUAACUCGGAAAGGUCAACUGAUACUGCGGGGCUAGAGUACGGAAGGGGCAACUGGAAUUCUUGGUGUAGCGGUGAAAUGCGUAGAUAUCAAGAGGAACACCUGCGGCGAAGGCGGGUUGCUGGGCCGACACUGACGCUGAGGCGCGAAAGCUAGGGGAGCGAACGGGAUUAGAUACCCCCGUAGUCC
RNAcentral lists this ribosomal RNA (810 nucleotides) under uncultured Acidobacteriota bacterium. RNAcentral's name for it is "bacterial SSU rRNA". It matches the Rfam family "Bacterial small subunit ribosomal RNA", at positions 8 to 796 of the family's 1533-position model. Lineage: Bacteria; Pseudomonadati; Acidobacteriota. The record is from RNAcentral.